This is a long non-coding RNA of Schistocerca americana (American grasshopper), 288 nucleotides long. RefSeq lists it as uncharacterized. NCBI's taxonomy places the organism in Eukaryota, Metazoa, Arthropoda, Insecta, Orthoptera, Acrididae. The record is from RefSeq and is a predicted model, not a curated record. The transcript has 3 exons.
GAGUGACGGCAGAAGCGACUGAAUCAGCUGCUGUUCUUAGGGCAGAGUUCUACUGUACCCCGGGAUCAACGUUUAUUCUUGGUUGUAACGUCUGUAGAUGUGGUAGCGAUGGUAUCAACUAUCUGUGCUCAAUGAUACCGCAAUGUUAGUGAUGCCUAAUACGCUGGACUGGAAGAUGCAGUAAAGAAGGCAGCGGAAACAUCGCCAUGACUUGCUUUGUGGACACACUGGACCAUAAUCUGCGCUGUACGUCGCGCUGUCCUUAUGAUGUCUUAACGUACUGUUGUU